GCUUUGGUGGGGUAGUGGUAACCUGGGUCGUUGCCAUAUCAACCUUAUUCGACCCGCCGGGGGUUUGAUUCCCUCCCAAAGCA
Roridomyces roridus is the source of this 83-nucleotide non-coding RNA. The record is from the annotation of a GenBank genome assembly. NCBI's taxonomy places the organism in Eukaryota, Fungi, Basidiomycota, Agaricomycetes, Agaricales, Mycenaceae.